GACGAACGCUGGCGGCAUGCUUAACACAUGCAAGUCGAACGAGACGAUUGAAAGCUUGCUUUUGAGAGUCGAGUGGCAAACGGGUGAGUAACGCGUAGACAACCUGCCGUAAAGAUGGGGACAACAGUUCGAAAGGACUGCUAAUACCGAAUGUUGUAGAGUUUCCACAUGGAAAUCCUACUAAAGGUGGCCUCUACUUGUAAGCUAUCGCUUUACGAUGGGUCUGCGUCUGAUUAGCUAGUUGGUGGGGUAACGGCCUACCAAGGCGACGAUCAGUAGCCGACCUGAGAGGGUGACCGGCCACAUUGGGACUGAGACACGGCCCAA
Molecule: ribosomal RNA, 327 nt
Filed under: uncultured bacterium
Lineage: Bacteria
Description: bacterial SSU rRNA
Rfam family: Bacterial small subunit ribosomal RNA
Source: RNAcentral